GACAGAGGUGCCGAGCGUUAGGCGGAAUCACUGGGCUUAAAGCGUGUGUAGGCGGAUUCCUAAGUACCUUGUGAAAUCCCACGGCUUAACCGUGGAACUGCUUGGUAUACUGGGUGUCUUGAGCCAACUAGAGGCAGUCGGAACAAACGGUGGAGCGGUGAAAUGCGUAGAUAUCGUUUGGAACGCCAAUGGUGAAAACAGACUGCUGGGGUUGUGCUGACGCUGAGACAC
This 231-nucleotide ribosomal RNA is filed under the name uncultured bacterium. RNAcentral describes it as "partial 16S ribosomal RNA". It matches the Rfam family "Bacterial small subunit ribosomal RNA", at positions 524 to 754 of the family's 1533-position model. The record is from RNAcentral.